Molecule: ribosomal RNA, 422 nt
Filed under: uncultured bacterium
Lineage: Bacteria
Description: bacterial SSU rRNA
Rfam family: Bacterial small subunit ribosomal RNA
Source: RNAcentral
UGAGGAAUAUUGGUCAAUGGGGGCAACCCUGAACCAGCCAAGUCGCGUGAAGGAUGAAGGUCUUAUGGAUUGUAAACUUCUUUUAUACAGGAAUAAAUUGGGGGACGUGUCCCCUUUUGCAUGUACUGUAUGAAUAAGGAUCGGCUAACUCCGUGCCAGCAGCCGCGGUAAUACGGAGGAUCCGAGCGUUAUCCGGAUUUAUUGGGUUUAAAGGGUGCGCAGGCGGGAUGUUAAGUCGGCGGUGAAAUUUUGCAGCUCAACUGUAAAAGUGCCUUCGAUACUGGCCUCCUUGAGUGUGGAUGAAGUAGGCGCAAUUUGUGGUGUAGCGGUGAAAUGCUUAGAUAUCACGAGGAACUCCGAUUGCGCAGGCAGCUUACUAAGCCACAACUGACGCUCAUGCACGAAGGCGUGGGGAUCAAACA